GACGAACGCUGGCGGCGUGCCUAAUACAUGCAAGUCGAGCGAAUCUGAGGGAGCUUGCUCCCAAAGAUUAGCGGCGGACGGGUGAGUAACACGUGGGCAACCUGCCCGUAAGAUUGGGAUAACUCCGGGAAACCGGUGCUAAUACCGAAUAGUUUCUCGUACCACAUGGUACGAGAGGGAAAGUUGGCUUUUAGCUAACACUUACGGAUGGGCCCGCGGCGCAUUAGCUAGUUGGGGAGGUAACGGCUCACCAAGGCGAGGAUGCGUAGCCGACCUGGGAGGGUGAUCGGCCAGACUGGGACUGGGACUCGGCCCAGACUCCUACGGGAGGCAGCAGUAGGGAAUCUUCCGCAAUGGACGAAAGUCUGACGGAGCAACGCCGCGUGAGCGAAGAAGGCCUUCGGGUCGUAAAGCUCUGUUGUCAGGGAAGAACAAGUACCGUUCGAAUAGGGCGGUACCUUGACGGUACCUGACCAGAAAGCCACGGCUAACUACGUGCCAGCCGCCGCGGUAA
This 514-nucleotide ribosomal RNA is filed under the name uncultured bacterium. RNAcentral describes it as "partial 16S ribosomal RNA". It matches the Rfam family "Bacterial small subunit ribosomal RNA", at positions 28 to 523 of the family's 1533-position model. The record is from RNAcentral.